Long non-coding RNA from Panicum virgatum (switchgrass), 1540 nucleotides. RefSeq lists it as uncharacterized. The record is from RefSeq and is a predicted model, not a curated record. The transcript has 3 exons. Lineage: Eukaryota; Viridiplantae; Streptophyta; Magnoliopsida; Poales; Poaceae.
CUCUCUCUCUCUCCCCCUGCGGCCCUCUCUCCGUUGCCGCGCUCCGCCGCCGUCGUCCUCGGCUCCCUGCUCCUGGUCGCUGACGCUGCAUCCCCCCUCCUCCCGAGGCCGCCGCCGGGCACGAGGCCCGUGUGGGGAAGCAGGAGGCCAAGGCCCAGGCGGAGGCAGAGGCGCACGGGGACCGGGUGGCCAUGGCGGAGGCCGGCGGCGCUAGGACUGGAGGUUGGAGGAGGACGGCGAGUCAGAGGCGCACGUGGACCGGGUGGUCGUGGCUGGAGGUUGGAGGAGGACAGCGUGGUGCUGUACAAUAGCUCGGCUAGGUGGUCACCAACCGUGCAUCUGCAGCUUCCGUGCCCCCUCCUGCUCCGUAUUGCUGGCGCCGUCAACCUCCCAUGGACGACGGCCUCAUUGUGUUCGAUCAAAUGGGCAUAAAUGGUGCAAAAGCAGUACUGCUGUGUUGAUCAAUGGAGGAGGCAAUUCACAUAAGGGAAUGAUAUUUCAAUGUUUCUUACCUUGAGCUCAGAAGCACUUCCUUGGCCGCAAAAUUUAGAGGACAAUGAUUCAACUGUUUCUAGCUUAGUUAUUGAAAAGUGACCUGCAUCACUGCCUUCAGUGCCAACCAAACUCUCAUGCAUGGCAGGUGAUUCUCCUGUGCAUAUUGUCUUUGGAAGGAGUUUGCUCACCCGCAAAUGCUUUCAUUCUUGGUGAUGCCUGACACAAAGCUCUAGCGAUUGCAAUAGCAAAGUGUAAGCUUUCUGAACUUUGCGAUCAUAAAGGUUUCAACUAUUGAAAUUUAUUUACCGGACUUGAUAAGAAAUCUGCUCUUAUGAAAGAUGGUCCUGACAGCACUAUGUCAAGGGACCUUGGAUACAGGUAGAAUCUGACACUAUAGGCUAAUUUAUCUAUUUCUUCAAUCUAGAUACUCUUUCAGUUGAGAUAUGUUUAUUCUCACAUCUUCCAAAUCAUAGACAUACAGCUGACAUUUUUUUACUCUUUAGAUUAACUUCUAACAGUACGGUUUCUUCAGAUGUUUUGCUUUUUUUUAACUCUGUGCCAACCUCUAAGUUCUAUUAGUUUCUUCUUGAAUUAGGUGUAGGUUUGCUCAUAAUGCUUCCAUGGUAUUUUGUUGAGGUUGUCUCAACUCAUUUUUCCUGUUUCGUUGUGUUGUUAUAGCAUUACCCUUUCUUUUAUGACGAGCUCACUUGUCAUUUUCAUCAGUGUUUUCAUGCAAGCAUUUAACAUUCCAUCCAGACUCACGUUGUGUUCUUAUAUUUGAUCUUAGACCUCUUGAGAGAUGGAGAUGCAGAUCGGCCCCAUUAUUUAGCGCCGGCAGUAGGUCUUUAUCAUUUGUUCUUUUAAAUACGCAGUGUGCAAGAUGGUAUGCAAUUUGUAAAUAUUAGGGGAUCAAAUGCAGCUGCCAAGAAUGGCGAAUUAUAUGUAUUUUGUACUCAUCAGCUUUCUAAAUUGUAGAUAUUGAUGGUCCAAAAUGUAUAUAUUAAUCUGAUUUGAUUGAUUAUCGUACUAUCUUCGGAAUGUUUUC